AUGAAGGUCCUAGGACCAAGCGAUCCGAAGAUCAAAGAAAAAGAAAAGAGAAAAAAGAGAGCCCUAACAACUGCAGCACAACACUCCAUACAAACCACACUAGACAGCGCAGCUCCGACUCCGACGGUGAACUAUGAAGACAAAGCAAGGUUGGCAUCACGGAGGAUCACCGAACAAACCAUCUGUCACGCGUCAUCGUAUACCACCGGCCCCCCACCGUGGCUUCGACUUCACAGCAACGGACAGUCGAGGCACUCCUCCGGACACGCCGGAGAAGAGAGCCGACUACCACGACCAAAGACCAUGCCUCCGACAUUGCUCACCACCGUCAUUGUUGCCACAGAAGUCGCCGUGCACGCCCAAUCGCAGGAAGCACCAAAAGGAUCAAAGUCUUCAAGACGGGCCCUAAAGAGGGGAACGACAUUGGAGACGACGCCACCGUCCAACCCUGCAGGAGGAUCUGGGUUUUCACCCCAAGAACUUGAUCCGAGAGUAGAGGCUAUGAAGAUUCCUAGCGACGCCUCCAAGGAGAAAAGCGACGCCCACAGACGCCGUCGCCGCCGGCCGGCCGGCCAUCACCGGCCAGGCUUUCGCCUAGUGCAGCCACUCCCACGCAGCAGGCCAAGGUCGACCCGUACCUCCAUUGGGGGUGCACCCCCGCACAGCGAGCACGCCACCACUGUGCAGGGCCACCAGCUAUCCUCCUCGACGACGGGACCGCAGAACCAGAUCGGGUUCUGCACCCCGCAUCCAACCGCGGCCAGAGCCUCCAUGCUCCAACCAGCGGCAACCGGGCACCACCAGCAGCCAGUAGUGCCCCUCCCGGGCCGCCGGCCACCGACGACCUGGCAGAUCCAGCCCCGCUGCCCCCUCGCGUCCCAUUCGUGCCUUCCACGGGAGCAAGCCGCCCCCAGUCCGCAAACCCGUGCUCCACCGCGCCCGCUCACCCCAACGGCGCAGCUCCUUCCCUCCACGCCGCGCACCAGCGACCGUGCCAGAUCCGCGCGCGCCCUGCGCGAGCAACCGCGCCGCGACCCGACCUCCGGUCGUCACCCGUGCCCAGGCGCUCCUCAGCCGGCAGAUCGAGGUCGACCUCCGGCCGCUUCUCUGCGCCCGCGCUGGCCCUAG
This 1128-nucleotide ribosomal RNA is filed under the name Triticum aestivum (bread wheat). RNAcentral describes it as "partial small subunit ribosomal RNA". The record is from RNAcentral. Lineage: Eukaryota; Viridiplantae; Streptophyta; Magnoliopsida; Poales; Poaceae.